This 414-nucleotide ribosomal RNA is filed under the name uncultured microorganism. RNAcentral describes it as "bacterial SSU rRNA". It matches the Rfam family "Archaeal small subunit ribosomal RNA", at positions 459 to 872 of the family's 1478-position model. The record is from RNAcentral.
CAGCAGCCGCGGUAAUACCGGCGGCCCGAGUGGCGGUCACUAUUAUUGGGCUUAAAGCGUCCGUAGCCGGGUUGGGAAGUCCUCCGGGAAAUCUGGCCGCUUAACGGUCAGAAUGCCGGAGGAUACUCCCAGCCUAGGGAGCGGGGGAGGCCGAGGGGAUUCCCGGGGUAGGGGUGAAAUCCUAUAAUCCCGGGAGGACCACCUGUGGCGAAGGCGCUCGGCUGGAACGCGUCCGACGGUGAGGGACGAAGGCCAGGGGAGCAAACCGGAUUAGAUACCCGGGUAGUCCUGGCUGUAAACGAUGCGGACUUUGUGUCGGACAAGCUAUGAGCUUGUCCGGUGCCGGAGGGAAACCGUUAAGUCCGCCGCCUGGGGAGUACGGCCGCAAGGCUGAAACUUAAAGGAAUUGGCGGG